UUCAGUACAAAUAAUAUGCUGCCUCAGUAAGCAUCUAACUAAAGGACAAAAAGACCCUUUGAAGCUUUAUAGGGAUAAAACUUGGGUAAGAUAUCUAUUCUGCUGGUAUUUCCUUUUUGCGUGUAGUGCUAAAGUAAACAUUAAUACACCCUAGCUUACUGUUUAAUUGGGGCGAUAAACUGUGUGAAAUUGUUAUCAGUACAAAUAAUAUGCUGA
RNAcentral lists this ribosomal RNA (216 nucleotides) under Symbiodinium sp. clade G. RNAcentral describes it as "partial 23S ribosomal RNA". The record is from RNAcentral. Lineage: Eukaryota; Dinophyceae; Suessiales; Symbiodiniaceae.